GGAUCUCCAUGGCCUUCUGCAGGAACUGUUGCAUUGUAUUGCCUUUCUUCAUCUUUACAGUUCUCCGGUGUCCAGAGCCGUCCCAGUAACUAAAGCUCAUUUUACAAGAUAAAAGGGAUAUGCCCAGGAUCACACAUCCAAUGUCAUACAGAUGGCGAAAAAAAAAAUUGAAAAUAAGACAAGAGACUCAGACUUCAUCAAAAUGAGGAUUUAACCUUGAAGAUUAAAAGAUUUGAGAAGGAAAGGAAAGGUGGGAGAAGAUGAUGAAGAGAGUGAGGAAUUCAGAGAAAUAGAAAAACUUGCAUGAACACAGCAAACCAGGGGAGUAAUCUACACCAAAGCAUCUUAAACUUUUUCUAUUUGUGAUCCCUUUUUGCCCAAGAAAUCUUUAUGCAACCCCAGGCAACAGGGAGUUACUGAAGACAUUAAAGAAGAAGUGGAGUCUAUGCAUGGUCAAACCUGGACAUUAAGUAGAUUAUUCUGGGAGUGAUAUGAAGGAUGAAUUGUGAGAGAAGAGAAUCUAAAAAUAGGUAAAACAAUUUAGUCUGGGCAAGAGAUGAGGAGAGAGGUCCUGGGGAAAGGUGAUGCAAGUAAUAGGUAGAAAGAAGGGGACACAUUUGAGUGAUGUUGUAGAAUUAAACUCACCAGGACUUAAUAAUUUGUUUAGA
Molecule: long non-coding RNA, 668 nt
Organism: Antechinus flavipes (yellow-footed antechinus)
Lineage: Eukaryota; Metazoa; Chordata; Mammalia; Dasyuromorphia; Dasyuridae
Exons: 4
Source: RefSeq, a predicted model, not a curated record